Molecule: ribosomal RNA, 670 nt
Filed under: uncultured bacterium
Lineage: Bacteria
Description: bacterial SSU rRNA
Rfam family: Bacterial small subunit ribosomal RNA
Source: RNAcentral
AGAGUUUGAUCCUGGCUCAGAACGAACGCUGGCGGCAUGCCUAACACAUGCAAGUCGAACGAGACCUUCGGGUCUAGUGGCGCACGGGUGCGUAACGCGUGGGAACCUGCCUUUAGGUUCGGAAUAACUCCCCGAAAGGGGUGCUAAUACCGAAUAAUGUCUUCGGACCAAAGAUUUAUCGCCUUUAGAUGGGCCCGCGUAGGAUUAGCUAGUUGGUGGGGUAAAGGCCUACCAAGGCGACGAUCCUUAGCUGGUCUGAGAGGAUGAUCAGCCACACUGGGACUGAGACACGGCCCAGACUCCUACGGGAGGCAGCAGUGGGGAAUAUUGGACAAUGGGCGAAAGCCUGAUCCAGCAAUGCCGCGUGAGUGAUGAAGGCCUUAGGGUUGUAAAGCUCUUUUACCAGGGAUGAUAAUGACAGUACCUGGAGAAUAAGCUCCGGCUAACUCCGUGCCAGCAGCCGCGGUAAUACGGAGGGAGCUAGCGUUGUUCGGAAUUACUGGGCGUAAAGCGCACGUAGGCGGCGAUUCAAGUCAGAGGUGAAAGCCCGGGGCUCAACCCCGGAACUGCCUUUGAAACUAGAUUGCUAGAAUCCUGAACAGGUUAGUGGAAUUCCGAGUGUAGACGUGAAAUCCCUAGAUAUUCGGAAAAUCACCCCCGCCUAUGGUUA